RNAcentral lists this ribosomal RNA (253 nucleotides) under uncultured bacterium. RNAcentral describes it as "partial 16S ribosomal RNA". It matches the Rfam family "Bacterial small subunit ribosomal RNA", at positions 524 to 776 of the family's 1533-position model. The record is from RNAcentral.
UACAGAGGGGGCAAGCGUUAUUCGGAAUUAUUGGGCGUAAAGAGCUCGUAGGCGGUCUGUCGCGUCUGCUGUGAAAACUCGGGGCUUAACCCCGGGCCUGCAGUGGGUACGGGCAGACUAGAGUGCGGUAGGGGAGACUGGAAUUCCUGGUGUAGCGGUGAAAUGCGCAGAUAUCAGGAGGAACACCGGUGGCGAAGGCGGGUCUCUGGGCCGUAACUGACGCUGAGGAGCGAAAGCGUGGGGAGCGAACAGG